RNAcentral lists this ribosomal RNA (655 nucleotides) under Enterococcus faecium. RNAcentral's name for it is "bacterial SSU rRNA". It matches the Rfam family "Bacterial small subunit ribosomal RNA", at positions 197 to 839 of the family's 1533-position model. The record is from RNAcentral. Lineage: Bacteria; Bacillati; Bacillota; Bacilli; Lactobacillales; Enterococcaceae.
GAUUUGAAAGGCGCUUUCGGGUGUCGCUGAUGGAUGGACCCGCGGUGCAUUAGCUAGUUGGUGAGGUAACGGCUCACCAAGGCCACGAUGCAUAGCCGACCUGAGAGGGUGAUCGGCCACAUUGGGACUGAGACACGGCCCAAACUCCUACGGGAGGCAGCAGUAGGGAAUCUUCGGCAAUGGACGAAAGUCUGACCGAGCAACGCCGCGUGAGUGAAGAAGGUUUUCGGAUCGUAAAACUCUGUUGUUAGAGAAGAACAAGGAUGAGAGUAACUGUUCAUCCCUUGACGGUAUCUAACCAGAAAGCCACGGCUAACUACGUGCCAGCAGCCGCGGUAAUACGUAGGUGGCAAGCGUUGUCCGGAUUUAUUGGGCGUAAAGCGAGCGCAGGCGGUUUCUUAAGUCUGAUGUGAAAGCCCCCGGCUCAACCGGGGAGGGUCAUUGGAAACUGGGAGACUUGAGUGCAGAAGAGGAGAGUGGAAUUCCAUGUGUAGCGGUGAAAUGCGUAGAUAUAUGGAGGAACACCAGUGGCGAAUGCGGCUCUCUGGUCUGUAACUGACGCUGAGGCUCGAAAGCGUGGGGAGCAAACAGGAUUAGAUACCCUGGUAGUCCACGCCGUAGACGAUGAGUGCUAAGUGUUGGAGGGUUUCCGCCU